Molecule: ribosomal RNA, 345 nt
Filed under: Triticum aestivum (bread wheat)
Lineage: Eukaryota; Viridiplantae; Streptophyta; Magnoliopsida; Poales; Poaceae
Description: partial small subunit ribosomal RNA
Source: RNAcentral
AUGUCUGGUCGUCAGUAUACCUGGGCCAAUAACCGAUCAGUGCCAACAUUUGAAAAACUUGACCGAGUGCUAGUUACCACUGACUGGGAAUAUAAAUAUCCCCUAGCAUCGGUUCGGGCUCUAGAACGUAUUGAGGCAUUAUCGGAUCACGCUCCUUUGCUAACCGAUUUUGGACAACCAAUCCCAAGUUCUAACCAUCACCAGUUUAAAUUUGAACUGGGAUGGCUCACUAGAGAGGGAUUUCAUGACCUUGUUAAGAAAGUGUGGGCGCGUCAUCCUCGUGGUAACACACCCAUUCAACGAUGGAACAAUCGAAUUCGCGCCUUGCGCCGAUUCCUUCGUUGA